CUGACGUUAGCGGCGGACGGGUGAGUAACACGUGGGUAACCUACCUAUAAGACUGGGAUAACUCCGGGAAACCGGGGCUAAUACCGGAUAAUACAUGAAACCGCAUGGUUUCAUGAUGAAAGACGGUUUUGCUGUCACUUAUAGAUGGACCCGCGGCGUAUUAGCUAGUUGGUAAGGUAACGGCUUACCAAGGCAACGAUACGUAGCCGACCUGAGAGGGUGAUCGGCCACACUGGAACUGAGACACGGUCCAGACUCCUACGGGAGGCAGCAGCG
RNAcentral lists this ribosomal RNA (276 nucleotides) under uncultured Staphylococcus sp. RNAcentral's name for it is "partial 16S ribosomal RNA". It matches the Rfam family "Bacterial small subunit ribosomal RNA", at positions 86 to 356 of the family's 1533-position model. Lineage: Bacteria; Bacillati; Bacillota; Bacilli; Caryophanales; Staphylococcaceae. The record is from RNAcentral.